This is a long non-coding RNA of Mesocricetus auratus (golden hamster), 454 nucleotides long. RefSeq lists it as uncharacterized. The transcript has 3 exons. The record is from RefSeq and is a predicted model, not a curated record. Lineage: Eukaryota; Metazoa; Chordata; Mammalia; Rodentia; Cricetidae.
CACCCCCCUCCCCAGCAUGCCGGAGGAACCAGUGACUCACCAUCGAGGCUGCUGCUAUAGCAGCGUGGGUAUCCCAGGAUGAUCAAAAUCACAGAAGGAUGAGCAGUCAGGAUCUAAGUCAAUGUUAGCAGCCACCACUGCCAUGACUGCGAAAUCCACAGUCCUGGAGAUGGUGUCCACUUCUCUGACACGUUGGUGGCUGCUGUUCCUGACUGCAUGUGUGUAAGUUCAACAAACCGAGGUGGGAGAAGAAACAUGCGAAGUCUGCAGAAAUCAGCGGGUGGCACCAGCCUUAGCGACAGAAGUAGAGCAAGGAAGUCUGUAGAGUGAGUGGUAAGACCGGCCACCGCUCAAGAACACAUUCAAAUCAGAAUCCUGUCUGGGACUCUUACUCUGUGUUUGACCCUGCCUCUGAGUCUCAAACCCAGCCUCAAUCAGAAUCUAAAGGAAACUG